UUUAGUUUAUAGUCUAUUUAGAACAUAAAAUUUGAAGGAUUAAUUUUAAGCCUUUUUGGUUGCAGUGAUGCAUAUGGACUUUCUUGAUUUAUUUCUCUACAGUAAAAACAUAUGGUUUCAAUUCUGUUACACAACCAUGAUCACAACUGAGCAGCUCUUCCGUAAUUAAUUCAGGAUUUAUUAGAUAUUUUCUUCCAGUCACUUUGCUGAAAAUCAGAGAUAAAUAUAGAUCAAACAAUAACUUCGUUUACCAUUUGGGAUCAGCAAAAGGUGGCAGCACAACUUGCUGCCUUUUCCAAAGGAAGCUACAUUAGCUAAAUUUCACCUGGUGCGACUUGGACCGAUUUUUUGCGUCUCAGAGUAGAAAAAUGCGGAGUGUUUGCAGGGUGUCUACUUUGCGACUUCACAGAAACUCAUUAAAAUUUACUUUUGGGAAUUAGUAAAGAGAAAAUUAUAUGUUGAUUGGUGUAAAUUCAGCUGACGUGGCUAACCAAGACAUAUUGGGAUGAUUCGGAAAGAAUUUCAAGUAAGUGGCUCUUAAUGUGAUUAUCUCAUGCUCUGCUUUGAAUAGGUUCUAAAUGUAUAAUAAUAACUUAUUACACUAUGGCUUUGGUGUUAGUAAUUUAGCACAUUUACCAUUCCGCACAUACAAUUCAUCUUGGCUAUGGUGUGGUGAGUAUAUGCUUACUGACAGUCAGCUCUGUGAGUUGGGCUUUCAUAGCAUUGAGCAGAAGUGUGUCCUAAGUAUUGUGGCUAUUUACCAAAAAACCAACUCAUACCAGGGUAGCAUUUUAUAUAAACAAAGAGUACAAAAAUUCUGCAAAGGGUUAAAUCAUGUUUUAGAAAGUGUAUCUGUAUCGAUGUCCAGGAACCGUAACAAAACUCACAAAUAUGUUAAUCAUCAAAUGGGAAAUACUUUGCAGUGACCUCUUCUACUUGGACCAGAGGGUGGUAUUCUGCGUUUGACCAUCAUCACAACAAUGGAGGAGGAUGCACACAGUUUAUGAACUAAGCUUGUGUGUAGCACGGAAAAUGCUUGUGACACUGAUGGAGUGCAUGUGUGUGUGUGUGAUAUUAUUUUGUCUUUCGGUAUAUAGAAAUGGGAG
Molecule: long non-coding RNA, 1106 nt
Organism: Lycium barbarum (goji berry)
Lineage: Eukaryota; Viridiplantae; Streptophyta; Magnoliopsida; Solanales; Solanaceae
Exons: 3
Source: RefSeq, a predicted model, not a curated record